GUUUUUCUCUCUCCCUUCGGCGAUCUGCAACUCCGGCCACCUGGGGACAAAAACCAAGCACCGGUCGGCUCCUCUACUCCUACCCAACCUCCCUACGGCGACCAUUCAAGGUGUCUUGGCCGGAAAACGACGCAUCGAGCCUGAGAAAUUUACUAUAGCAGUUUGAGUCAACGCCAUUUUCUUCCGAUUUCGGCCACCCCAGACGAUAAAGUUCGGUUCUUUGGAAGCGCCUUGGGAUGUAGAUGCUACCCCCUGAAUCUUGUGCAGCGAUUUGAAGCAUGGAGGAAGAACUGGCGACUGGAAGAUUACGAUCACUAUUCACGAUUCGAGUUCAAGGUUCUUCUUAAUUGUUGAGGUUAUGGUCCGCAGAGUAGCUGGUUCGGCAUACUAGGAUUCGUGGCAUAGCAUCUACAGCAGUCGUUUUCAUAUUGUAGGUUAAUCGUUGAACCUACGUGUAUUAUGAAUUCCUUCUCUCUUUUAAAUUGCUCUGAUAACCUGUGGGACAAUUAUUGUAAAGUUUGGGUUAUGUUGUAUUGUUCGGAUUUUAGUUGUAAAUUGUAAAUUGUGGAGUUGUUGAAUUUUGAGGAGCAGGGUGGCUCCAAGAGAUUAUGGAUGAUUUGUUAGAAGUGUGAUUGUAAUUCUACAGGUUUU
RNAcentral lists this long non-coding RNA (651 nucleotides) under Rosa chinensis. Its description in RNAcentral is "sRNA RchiOBHm_Chr7g0220141". The record is from RNAcentral. Lineage: Eukaryota; Viridiplantae; Streptophyta; Magnoliopsida; Rosales; Rosaceae.